AAGAUCGACGAUGAUGACAUCGUCUCCCACAUCCUCGCUGCCCUGGACAAGGAAUUUGAUCCGGUGGUCUCUGCUAUGUGCUCCAGAGUGGAGCCGAUCACCGUGCCUGAGCUGUUCUCUCAACUCAUCAGCUUUGAGA
RNAcentral lists this small nucleolar RNA (139 nucleotides) under Triticum aestivum (bread wheat). RNAcentral describes it as "Small nucleolar RNA Z247". It matches the Rfam family "Small nucleolar RNA Z247". Rfam says of the family: Z247 is a member of the C/D class of snoRNA which contain the C (UGAUGA) and D (CUGA) box motifs. Most of the members of the box C/D family function in directing site-specific 2'-O-methylation of substrate RNAs. Lineage: Eukaryota; Viridiplantae; Streptophyta; Magnoliopsida; Poales; Poaceae. The record is from Rfam by way of RNAcentral. RNAcentral also lists the same sequence under 1 other name.